This 253-nucleotide ribosomal RNA is filed under the name uncultured bacterium. Its description in RNAcentral is "partial 16S ribosomal RNA". It matches the Rfam family "Bacterial small subunit ribosomal RNA", at positions 524 to 776 of the family's 1533-position model. The record is from RNAcentral.
UACGUAGGGUGCGAGCGUUGUCCGGAAUUAUUGGGCGUAAAGAGCUCGUAGGCGGCCUGUCGCGUCGGAUGUGAAAGCCCGGGGCUUAACCCCGGGUCUGCAUUCGAUACGGGCAGGCUAGAGUGUGGUAGGGGAGAUCGGAAUUCCUGGUGUAGCGGUGAAAUGCGCAGAUAUCAGGAGGAACACCGGUGGCGAAGGCGGAUCGCUGGGCCAUUACUGACGCUGAGGAGCGAAAGCGUGGGGAGCGAACAGG